AACGAACGCUGGCGGCAGGCCUAACACAUGCAAGUCGAGCGAGGACUUCGGUUCUAGCGGCGGACGGGUGAGUAACGCGUGGGAAUGUGCCCUUCUCUACGGAAUAGCCCUGGGAAACUGGGAGUAAUACCGUAUACGCCCUAUUGGGGAAAGAUUUAUCGGAGAAGGAUCAGCCCGCGUUGGAUUAGGUAGUUGGUGGGGUAAUGGCCUACCAAGCCGACGAUCCAUAGCUGGUUUGAGAGGAUGAUCAGCCACACUGGGACUGAGACACGGCCCAGACUCCUACGGGAGGCAGCAGUGGGGAAUCUUAGACAAUGGGGGCAACCCUGAUCUAGCCAUGCCGCGUGAGUGAUGAAGGCCUUAGGGUUGUAAAGCUCUUUCAGCUGGGAAGAUAAUGACGGUACCAGCAGAAGGAGCCCCGGCUAACUCCGUG
Molecule: ribosomal RNA, 433 nt
Filed under: uncultured bacterium
Lineage: Bacteria
Description: partial 16S ribosomal RNA
Rfam family: Bacterial small subunit ribosomal RNA
Source: RNAcentral